AUUGAACGCUGGCGGCAGGCUUAACACAUGCAAGUCGAGCGGGCGAGGUUGCUUCGGUAACUGAGCUAGCGGCGGACGGGUGAGUAAUGCUUAGGAAUCUGCCUAUUAGUGGGGGACAACAUUCCGAAAGGGAUGCUAAUACCGCAUACGUCCUACGGGAGAAAGCAGGGGCUCUUUAUGACCUUGCGCUAAUAGAUGAGCCUAAGUCGGAUUAGCUAGUUGGUGGGGUAAAGGCCUACCAAGGCGACGAUCUGUAGCGGGUCUGAGAGGAUGAUCCGCCACACUGGGACUGAGACACGGCCCAGACUCCUACGGGAGGCAGCAGUGGGGAAUAUUGGACAAUGGGGGGAACCCUGAUCCAGCCAUGCCGCGUGUGUGAAGAAGGCCUUUUGGUUGUAAAGCACUUUAAGUGGGGAGGAGGCUUACCUGGUUAAUACCUGGGCUAAGUGGACGUUACCCACAGAAUAAGCACCGGCUAACUCUGUG
This 486-nucleotide ribosomal RNA is filed under the name uncultured organism. RNAcentral's name for it is "bacterial SSU rRNA". It matches the Rfam family "Bacterial small subunit ribosomal RNA", at positions 30 to 507 of the family's 1533-position model. The record is from RNAcentral.